AUGUGUUUUUUGAGUUAUAUACCUCAGUUUUGUUUUCAUUCCAUCAUCAGGUCUAUUUUAUCUUCAAAAGAUAUUUUCGAAUGGAAAGAAGGAUUAAAAUUUUUGCCAAAUUUGGGACCAGGAAGAAAUUUCCACCGCAUUCCCAUGACUUGGAUUGUGGUGGAUCCUUUCACUUCCUCUGAAUCAACAAAGACGGGAUCAUCAGCUUUCCGGAAUCUUGGGUUGUUUUUCUCACUCAGAUAUUAAGUUUGCCUUGCUCUUCCUAAUACUCAGAUUCUGUCUUCCUGUGGUAAUUUUGCCACUGUUUCCUGAUGCUAUUUCAGCCUAACAGCACAUACCUAGUCAGACAGACAUUCUUCUUGCAUCCCAUUCAGUUUCUAUCUGCCUCCUGUUUGUCUGUUCUAGCAUUCUGAUGUCAUAAUAUCCUAGAACAAACAGUCAGAGACUGAAAGAGCAGAGCAGGACAAAAAUAAACGCAAUAGAAAGUGAAUUGUAUAGAAACA
Molecule: long non-coding RNA, 503 nt
Filed under: Chrysemys picta bellii (western painted turtle)
Lineage: Eukaryota; Metazoa; Chordata; Testudines; Emydidae
Description: lncRNA (ENSCPBG00000006876.1)
Source: RNAcentral